This 76-nucleotide transfer RNA is filed under the name Zootermopsis nevadensis. It matches the Rfam family "tRNA". From Rfam's summary of the family: Transfer RNA (tRNA) molecules are approximately 80 nucleotides in length. Their secondary structure includes four short double-helical elements and three loops (D, anti-codon, and T loops). Lineage: Eukaryota; Metazoa; Arthropoda; Insecta; Blattodea; Termopsidae. The record is from Rfam by way of RNAcentral.
GCCACGGUGGUCCAGCGGUUAGAACGCUGGCCUUGUAAUCCUGGGGGGGCCUCGGGUUCGAUUCCCGGCGGUGCCA